CUGGUCAUUCUAAGAGUCAUUUCCUUGUCUUUCAGGGAGAUAAAGAGGCAUAUAUUGUGUGGGCAGAAGAAUCUGUGUUCUUGUCAAUGACAUAGGCCAUAGAGGUCAAUGGCAUUCGGACAAGCCUGCCUGAAAGCCCCUAUAAAUUUUCAAAGCUCUGUUUCAAUGAGCCUCGACCAUCUGCUGUUAAUUGAGAUGUUUGAACACCUCAUGAAAAACAGACUCAUGAAUCUCUGUUUUACAUAUCUGCAGUAUUUCCAAGCACAGUAAGUAACAGUGCGU
RNAcentral lists this long non-coding RNA (282 nucleotides) under Cyanistes caeruleus (blue tit). RNAcentral describes it as "lncRNA (ENSCCEG00000011454.1)". The record is from RNAcentral. Lineage: Eukaryota; Metazoa; Chordata; Aves; Passeriformes; Paridae.